ACAUGGAUUUUGUCUCAAAUCCUCGCGCUUUUGGUAUAUAUAUUUGUCAACUUCAUAUCUCUAUUUUCUGCUGUUCGAAAAAAUCUGCUUUCGUCAACCUCAACUUAUUAUUCGAGUAGAAAAUCUGUCUGCAACCUUUGAAAAGAAGCAAAUUAGUCAUCAACCUUUCGUUAUAGUCGUCCAACAAAAAGUUUGUUAUCUUAAUACUUACUUAUCUAGUUAUGGUUAUAAGUAAACAUCUCAUCAAAUUAACAACUAACUUAUUUAGAAAAUAUCCUUUACUAUAAAGUAGAAAAAAGUAAUAACAGUGUAUAUCGAACAUGAUCUUAUUUAUUAAGUCAAAUCCCACAUUGAUUAAAGAUGAAAACAUAGAUCAAUUUAUAGGGUUUGGAUCACUCAUCUUAAUGAAGUUUACCCUUUAAAGAUUGAACCUCAAGUUUUAAUAUAGUAUCAAAGUUCAUUAAAUUUCAACGAGCAAUUCGAUCUGAAUAAGACUCAAAAAAAUGAGCCACCAUCUUGAUAAAAUCCCACAUUGAUUAAAUAUGAAAACAUAGACCAAUUUAUAAACCCUUAUAAUUCAAUAAUAAUGCCAACAAUUUUGAAUUAUGUGGCAUGCAGGAUUUACAACAUCAAAGAUAGCUUGUUGCGGACAAGGACCUUAUAACGGCAUAGGCCUUUGCACACCUUUAUCAAAUUUGUGCCCAAAUAGAGAUGAAUAUGUGUUUUGGGACCCUUUUCAUCCAUCUGAGAGGGCUAAUAGACUCAUUGUAGAACAGAUCUUGACAGGUACAAACACUUAUAUGCACCCCAUGAACCUCAGUACUAUCAUGGCUUUGGAUUCAAGCAGGGCAUGAUCUUGCCCUACAAACUAAUAAACAUUUGGUAGCAUAAAAUCUUUGCUCCCAAAUGUGACCUAAAUUUUUUUCAGUUUCUUGAUAUUGUAACUGUAUUUUCAAAGCAUUGUUGAAGUUUCUUGAUAGUCGCGUGUCUGUAUUUCGUAAUGAGUGCACUAAGUGUGUGUGUUUGUCAUAGAGUAUACAUAAUGAUACAAGAAAUGACCAUAUGUUAACAAGUAGAAGUGGUGCAAACCAAAAUUAAGCUAAGGGGAGGACGACUUAGGUAGUUGAGACAUAAUUUGCAUAAAAUUGAAUAAAAAAGGAGAAAGCCCUCCAAUCCGAAACCCUUCUUGGUCCACACACCUCCUAUCCUCGGUUUUCAUGCCAAAUCCCGACGAACUUGUCUCUCUUUGGAUGGUUCCAUGUGUUGGCUAAUUGAAUCCACAAUUGCAAUGCACUAAACAAAAAUCGAAUUUAUGUAGUCGGCGUCAAAUGUGUCGGAAUAAUACUUAGCUUCUUGUUGUUGUUGUGUCACCCUACUCACUCACAAACACGCACACACACACUCUUGAGUUUUAAUGUGCAUACUUCUCGAGAGUUAUAGUUGUUAUACAUGUAUUGAAUAAAUGCAGAGACUGUAUAGUCUUGGAGCUCGAAGGGUUUUAGUGACAGGCACAGGACCAUUAGGAUGUGUGCCAGCAGAAUUGGCAAUUCACAGUACGAGAGGGGAAUGUGCAGAGGAAUUGCAACUUGCUGCAUCUCUUUUCAAUCCACAAUUGGUUCAGAUGAUUGAUCAACUCAACACCCAAAUAGGCCACACUGCCUUCAUUGCAGCCAACACCAAUCAAAUGAACAUGGAUUUUGUCUCAAAUCCUCGCGCUUUUGGUAUAUAUAUUUGUCAACUUCAUAUCUCUAUUUUCUGCUGUACGAAAAAAUCUGCUUUCGUCAACCUCAACUUAUUAUUCGAGUAGAAAAUCUGUCUGCAACCUUUGAAAAGAAGCAAAUUAGUCAUCAACCUUUCGUUAUAGUCGUCCAACAAAAAGUUUGUUAUCUUAAUACUUACUUAUCUAGUUAUGGUUAUAAG
This 1920-nucleotide long non-coding RNA is filed under the name Olea europaea (common olive). RNAcentral's name for it is "long non-coding RNA (OEUR_LNC009481)". Lineage: Eukaryota; Viridiplantae; Streptophyta; Magnoliopsida; Lamiales; Oleaceae. The record is from RNAcentral.